RNAcentral lists this unclassified non-coding RNA (1577 nucleotides) under Hevea brasiliensis (rubber tree). The record is from RNAcentral. Lineage: Eukaryota; Viridiplantae; Streptophyta; Magnoliopsida; Malpighiales; Euphorbiaceae.
GAAAAUCCAUCAUGAAAUUAUUAUUUAUGAAAGUUGCUAUCUAACUUCAUCAGAAGGCUUACAAUAUGGAUUAGCUAGAAUUUUCUUUGCUUGAUUAAGAGAAACAAACUUUAUUUCCCUAACAAAAGGCUUAAACUUUUCUGUAAUCCCAAGAACACAUAACAAUACAAGUCUAUAAACAACCACCAUGCCAAAUAAUAUAGCAAGAUCAAUCCACUUGGAGUAACUCAUUUCAACUUGCCAUAUAUUCCUCAGGAUUUCUUCACCAUUUAUGUAAGGAGGCCCUCCAUGAUCACUUGGAGGAAAUGUUAGUCCUUGAAACUCAUUUUUAUACAGUCCUUGAUAUGCGUACUUAUGGAAGGCAAUGUAAUACAAUGGAUAUCUCCACAAGACUGUGGGAAGAUCAUCCGGCAACCGAAAGAAACCGCCACUUAGCAUCAUUAGCCCUUGAAUUCCUGCACCUGUUAUUAGACCCAUUAGGAAAUUUGGAACUAUGCUUGCAACGAUCAGCAUUAGGCUCUCCACCAGCAUCAUACAUGCAAAGAGUAUCAAAGCAAAGUAGAUGAAGUGUUCACUUCCUUGUUGGAGACCAACUAGACAGUAAGUGAUUGCUCCUGGUAUUAGAGAUAUGAGAAGCAAGUAAGGUGCUGAUGAGAGUGUGUUGCCAAUAACAAAUGCACCUGAUUGAUAAUGCCCAUUUAAUCUUUCCCUUUGAAACACCUUCAUGUCCUCUACAAAUGAAGGGAAGCCUCCGAUUGCCAUUAUUGUCAAUAAAGAAGCAAUGAACAUUAGCAGUGAUCCUCUUGCUUGUAUUGAACUGUAGCCAGUGCCAAUGCUGUAGAAAACAGAGCCCAAACCCAAACCUAACAUGAUAUAUAUAGCCAGACGUAGCCAGUAAUAGCCUAGAUCACGAUACAUGUUCACAAAAGACCUUCUUGACAGAACAAGGCUCUGUGUGAUGAAGUUAACCUGGCUUCCCUUAUUUAGUUCUGUUUUCUCCUGAAACAAAGAGUUUUGCAUCCAAGAUCAUUAUUUAGUAAAAAUCUAGCUUGUAAUUUCACUUACUGUUGAUGAUUCCAUCAGGGUUGCUCACCUGUCGACAUAUUUCUCUUACCCUUCUUUGGAUUUGCCUGCAAGUAGCAGAUGAUUUAUAAGAUCUUACAAGCAAGUUGAUUACUUCCUCUCUGUCUUUCUUUGCACCAAAACCUUGUUCCAUAUCCUCAUCAAAAUCUGUAUUAAUUGUUCUGAGGUAAUGAUCGGAUGGAUUUUGAUGACUGGGACAGGGUAAACCAUUCAUUUCAAAGAACUUAUUUGCUGCAGUAGAGGGUCCAAAGUAUAUAGUUCUUCCAGAAGAGAGAAGGCAAAGACUGUGGAAAAGCUGAAAGACGUCACUACCAGGUUGAUGGAUAGAUGCUAUAAUAGUCAUUCCAUGUUGUUUAGCAAGGUCGGCCAAUUUUUUCAUCACAUAAUAUGAAGCAGCACUGUCGAGUCCACUAGUGGGUUCGUCAAGGAAAAGAAGCUUAGGCCUUGUUAAAAUCUCUAUGCAAAUGCUUACUCUCCUCUUUUGCCCACCACUA